CAUCGCGCUGCAGUUGCUGCGCCGCGCUCAGUACUUGGCUCUCGGCGUAAAGUGUUGUGCCCGCAUGAUCGAGGUAGGUGCUCUCUGAGAAUCUAGAAAACUCUUUGUCAAUGAGCGCCUGCUCUUCAGCUGUAAACUCGGCUGUGUACUCGACCAUUAUUGCGCACUCGACUGCAGCUCCAGCGUUAUUUAUGGCUGCAAUUCGAGAGUUGGAGCAGCAACCGGUAAUUAUAGAGAUGUUACUCGAUAGCUAUAUUU
This is a long non-coding RNA of Drosophila navojoa, 258 nucleotides long. NCBI's taxonomy places the organism in Eukaryota, Metazoa, Arthropoda, Insecta, Diptera, Drosophilidae. The record is from RefSeq and is a predicted model, not a curated record.